Molecule: ribosomal RNA, 253 nt
Filed under: uncultured bacterium
Lineage: Bacteria
Description: partial 16S ribosomal RNA
Rfam family: Bacterial small subunit ribosomal RNA
Source: RNAcentral
UACGGGGGGAGCAAGCGUUGUUCGGAUUUACUGGGCGUAAAGGGUGCGUAGGUGGCGCUGUAAGUCAGGUGUGAAAUUUCGGAGCUUAACUCCGAAACUGCAUUUGAUACUGCGGUGCUCGAGGACUGGAGAGGAGACUGGAAUUUACGGUGUAGCAGUGAAAUGCGUAGAGAUCGUAAGGAAGACCAGUGGCGAAGGCGGGUCUCUGGACAGUUCCUGACACUGAGGCACGAAGGCCAGGGGAGCAAACGGG